GAGAGCGGCGGACGGGUGAGUAAUGCCUAGGAAUCUGCCUGGUAGUGGGGGAUAACGCUCGGAAACGGACGCUAAUACCGCAUACGUCCUACGGGAGAAAGCAGGGGACCUUCGGGCCUUGCGCUAUCAGAUGAGCCUAGGUCGGAUUAGCUAGUUGGUGAGGUAAUGGCUCACCAAGGCGACGAUCCGUAACUGGUCUGAGAGGAUGAUCAGUCACACUGGAACUGAGACACGGUCCAGACUCCUACGGGAGGCAGCAGUGGGGAAUAUUGGACAAUGGGCGAAAGCCUGAUCCAGCCAUGCCGCGUGUGUGAAGAAGGUCUUCGGAUUGUAAAGCACUUUAAGUUGGGAGGAAGGGCAGUAAAUUAAUACUUUGCUGUUUUGACGUUACCGACAGAAUAAGCACCGGCUAACUCUGUGCCAGCAGCCGCGGUAAUACAGAGGGUGCAAGCGUUAAUCGGAAUUACUGGGCGUAAAGCGCGCGUAGGUGGUUUGUUAAGUUGGAUGUGAAAUCCCCGGGCUCAACCU
RNAcentral lists this ribosomal RNA (528 nucleotides) under Pseudomonas sp. RNAcentral describes it as "bacterial SSU rRNA". It matches the Rfam family "Bacterial small subunit ribosomal RNA", at positions 91 to 615 of the family's 1533-position model. Lineage: Bacteria; Pseudomonadati; Pseudomonadota; Gammaproteobacteria; Pseudomonadales; Pseudomonadaceae. The record is from RNAcentral.